This 85-nucleotide transfer RNA is filed under the name Chlorobiales bacterium. Its description in RNAcentral is "tRNA-Leu". It matches the Rfam family "tRNA". Rfam says of the family: Transfer RNA (tRNA) molecules are approximately 80 nucleotides in length. The record is from RNAcentral. RNAcentral also lists the same sequence under 2 other names. Lineage: Bacteria; Pseudomonadati; Chlorobiota; Chlorobiia; Chlorobiales.
GCCAAAGUGGCGGAAUUGGUAGACGCGCUGGACUCAAAAUCCAGUGGGUGUUUAACCCGUGUGGGUUCGAGUCCCACCUUUGGUA